Molecule: ribosomal RNA, 681 nt
Filed under: Salmonella enterica subsp. enterica serovar Weltevreden
Lineage: Bacteria; Pseudomonadati; Pseudomonadota; Gammaproteobacteria; Enterobacterales; Enterobacteriaceae
Description: bacterial SSU rRNA
Rfam family: Bacterial small subunit ribosomal RNA
Source: RNAcentral
GUGGCUUCCGGAGCUAACGCGUUAAGUAGACCGCCUGGGGAGUACGGCCGCAAGGUUAAAACUCAAAUGAAUUGACGGGGGCCCGCACAAGCGGUGGAGCAUGUGGUUUAAUUCGAUGCAACGCGAAGAACCUUACCUGGUCUUGACAUCCACAGAACUUUCCAGAGAUGGACUGGUGCCUUCGGGAACUGUGAGACAGGUGCUGCAUGGCUGUCGUCAGCUCGUGUUGUGAAAUGUUGGGUUAAGUCCCGCAACGAGCGCAACCCUUAUCCUUUGUUGCCAGCGGUCCGGCCGGGAACUCAAAGGAGACUGCCAGUGAUAAACUGGAGGAAGGUGGGGAUGACGUCAAGUCAUCAUGGCCCUUACGACCAGGGCUACACACGUGCUACAAUGGCGCAUACAAAGAGAAGCGACCUCGCGAGAGCAAGCGGACCUCAUAAAGUGCGUCGUAGUCCGGAUUGGAGUCUGCAACUCGACUCCAUGAAGUCGGAAUCGCUAGUAAUCGUGGAUCAGAAUGCCACGGUGAAUACGUUCCCGGGCCUUGUACACACCGCCCGUCACACCAUGGGAGUGGGUUGCAAAAGAAGUAGGUAGCUUAACCUUCGGGAGGGCGCUUACCACUUUGUGAUUCAUGACUGGGGUGAAGUCGUAACAAGGUAACCGUAGGGGAACCUGCGGUUG